GAUCCAGCUGCCGGCGCCGUAAUUAACGCGCUUGAUCUUAGUCUAAGUCUAAUAGCAAAAUUUGCAUUUGUGAAAACCGGUGGAAGUUGGAAACAGUGAACCGAGGGAGCGAUUUUAUUAAACAUCCCAAUGACUGCGGUGACUUUAAAUCCAAACAGAUUUGCGCAUGUCGGCGCCAUGCAGGUACAUCAAACCAACGCCCACUCGCCGGAGUUGGCUCGCAUCCCAGUCAGUGCUGCAUCACGCCAGACCGGUACCGGCACUGCUUCUGCGGGCUGCCAGGGGCGAAGCUUCCAGAUUCAUCUGCACGCCGCUCUGACAGCUGGGGUUUCCGCGAAAUACUG
Long non-coding RNA from Paramormyrops kingsleyae, 344 nucleotides. RefSeq lists it as uncharacterized. Lineage: Eukaryota; Metazoa; Chordata; Actinopteri; Osteoglossiformes; Mormyridae. The record is from RefSeq and is a predicted model, not a curated record.